GUCCACGCCGUAAACGAUGAGUGCUAGGUGCUGCGGGUAUUGACCCCUGCGGUGCCGUAGCUAACGCGUUAAGCACUCCGCCUGGGGAGUACGGUCGCAAGACUAAAACUCAAAGGAAUUGACGGGGGCCCGCACAAGCGGUGGAGCAUGUGGUUCAAUUCGACGCAACGCGCAGAACCUUACCUGGGUUAAAUCCACUCGAACGGGGUAGAGAUAUCUUGGUGCCCUUCUGGGGAGCGAGUGAGAAGGUGCUGCAUGGCUGUCGU
Molecule: ribosomal RNA, 266 nt
Filed under: uncultured bacterium
Lineage: Bacteria
Description: partial 16S ribosomal RNA
Rfam family: Bacterial small subunit ribosomal RNA
Source: RNAcentral